GUCCACGCUGUAAACGAUGAGUGCUAGAUGUUGGGGUAUUCACUCCCUCGGUAUCGAAGCUAACGCGCUAAGCACUCCGCCUGGGGAGUACGGCCGCAAGGUUGAAACUCAAAGGAAUUGACGGGGCCCGCACAAGCGGUGGAGUAUGUGGUUUAAUUCGACGCAACGCGCAGAACCUUACCCAGCCUUGACAUCCCUGGAAUUCGGUGGAAACAUCGGAGUGUCCUCGCAAGAGGAAGCCAGGAGACAGGUGCUGCAUGGCUGUCGU
RNAcentral lists this ribosomal RNA (268 nucleotides) under uncultured bacterium. Its description in RNAcentral is "partial 16S ribosomal RNA". It matches the Rfam family "Bacterial small subunit ribosomal RNA", at positions 793 to 1055 of the family's 1533-position model. The record is from RNAcentral.